Molecule: long non-coding RNA, 1729 nt
Filed under: Homo sapiens (human)
Lineage: Eukaryota; Metazoa; Chordata; Mammalia; Primates; Hominidae
Description: non-protein coding lnc-CSRNP2-4:1
Source: RNAcentral
GCCGGAAACAGGGUGUCCCAGAGGGAGUUUCCGACUGGGCGCGGUGGCUCACGCCUGUAAUCCCAGCACUUUGGGAGGCCGAGGCGGGCGAAUCACGAGGUCAGGAGAUCAAGACCAUCCUGGCCAACAUGGUGAAACCCCAUCUCUUCUAAAAAUACAAAAAUUAGCCGGGCAUGGUGGUGCGUGCCUAUAAUCCCAGCUGCAGCUACUCAGGAGGCUGAGGCAGGAGAAUCACUUUAACUUGGGAGGCGGAGGUUGCAGUGAGCUGAGAUCACACCAUUGCACUCCAGCCUGGGCAACAGAGUGAGACUGUGUCUCAAAAAACAAACAAACAAAAGGCUGUGGGCUGGGCACAGUGACUCACACCUGUAAUCCCAGCACUUUGGGAAGCUGAGGCAGGCAAAUCACCUGAGGUCAGGAGUUCAAGACUAGCCUGACCAAUAUGAUGAAACCCCGUCUCUACUAAAAAUAUAAAACUUAGGCUUGGCGCAGUGGUCCAUGCCUGUAAUCCCAGCACUUUGGGAGGCCAAGGCAGGUGGAUCACCUGAGGUCGGGAGUUCAAGACCAGCCUGACCAACAUGGAGAAACCCCGUCUCUACUAAAAAUACAAAAUUAGCCAGACUUGGUGGCGUAUACCAGUAAUCCCAACUACUCAGGAGGCCAAGGGAGAAGAAUCGCUUGAACCCGGGAGGCGGAGGUUGUGGUGAGCUGAGAUUGCGCCACUGCACUCCAGCCUGGGCAACAAGAACGGAACUCCAUCUCAAAAAGAAAAAAAAAAACAAAAAUUAGCUGGGCAUGGUGACAUACACCUGUAAUCCCAGCUAUUCAGGAGGCUGAGAGAGGAAAAUUGCUUGAACCCGGGAGGCAGAGGUUGCGGUGAGCCGAGAUCACGCCAUUGCCUCCAGCCUGAGCAACAAGAGCGAAACUCUGUCUCAAAAAAAAAAAAAAAAAGAAAAACCAAGCUGUGCCACAACCACCUUGGGCACGUGUCAUCAGGACCUCCUAAGGCUGUGUCAUGUCCUUGACCUUGGCAAAAUAAACUUUCUAAAUUGAUUGAGACCUGUCUCAGAUAUUUUGGGUUCACAUAGGUGUGAGUCACUAAGCCAGACCUAGCUCCACUUUAUACAUGAGGAAAAUGAGGUUCAAUAAUCUGCUCAAGAUUGAGUCAGAAUUUGAACCCAGGCAGGCUGGGCAUAUGAGUUAGUGCUGCACUGUAUAUAAACAGCUCUGUUACAGGAAACUCUUAACCCCACAGACUGAGGUUCCUGUUACUCACUUUGUAGCUAGCUAUACUUAUUUUUCAUAGUACUUAACAUCAUAAUUAAUUAGCUGUGUCAUUAUACAUUUCAUGGCUAUCUUCCCCACAGGAGUCUAAGCUCACUGUAUUCCAGUCCCUGGCACACAAGGGGGGCUUAUUAAAUAUUUAUUAAAUGAAUAUGGCCAAGCGCAGUGGCUCAUAUUUGUAAUCCCAGCACUUUGGGAGGCUGAGGAGGAUGAUCACUUGAGGUCAGGAGUUCGAGACCAGCCUGGGCAAGAUAGUGAAACCACGUCUCUACCAAAAAUACAAAAAUUAGCUGGGCGUGGUGGCACACGCCUGUAAUCCCAGCUACUCUGGAGGCUGAAGCAGGAGAAUCACUUGAACCCGGGAGGUGGAGGUUGCAGUGAGCUGAGAUCAUGCCACUGUACUCCAGCCUGGGUGACAGAGUGAGACUUCAUCUCAAAAAUAAAA